GCAUCCGUAGCUCAGCUGGAUAGAGUACUCGGCUACGAACCGAGCGGUCGG
This 51-nucleotide transfer RNA is filed under the name Escherichia coli. RNAcentral's name for it is "partial tRNA-Arg". Lineage: Bacteria; Pseudomonadati; Pseudomonadota; Gammaproteobacteria; Enterobacterales; Enterobacteriaceae. The record is from RNAcentral.